This 342-nucleotide long non-coding RNA is filed under the name Gouania willdenowi (blunt-snouted clingfish). RNAcentral's name for it is "lncRNA (ENSGWIG00000026182.1)". Lineage: Eukaryota; Metazoa; Chordata; Actinopteri; Blenniiformes; Gobiesocidae. The record is from RNAcentral.
CUUUACUACUUCACACGUGAACUAUGUUUAGUUUCUGACUAAUACUGAGUCAGGCGCUGUAAAAGUUGUCACAGGUACAACUUUUCCCGAUUAAAAUCAUUCAAGAAAAGUCAUCCUCUAUAUUAAAAUGCCACAGCUUGAACAACACAAGAAACCAUGGGCUGCAGCAUGAGGUGAUGUUGUUUCUCUUCAGUGGACAAUGGUUUUGUACAGAAUGUUCAGCUGGUAGAUGAGGUGAGCCCCUCUCUGGAGUGACUCCCCAGGAAGAGAAAACGAGGUAGGACAAAUCUCUAACAUGACUGAUUACUGUCCCCACCAUCUCCCCUGUUCAUAUCUUGAACA